RNAcentral lists this ribosomal RNA (1322 nucleotides) under Eutreptiella gymnastica. Its description in RNAcentral is "partial Bacterial small subunit ribosomal RNA". It matches the Rfam family "Bacterial small subunit ribosomal RNA". Lineage: Eukaryota; Euglenozoa; Euglenophyceae; Eutreptiales; Eutreptiaceae. The record is from RNAcentral.
UUGAGAGUUUGAUCCUGGCUCAGAAUGAACGCUGGCGGUAUGCUUUAUACAUGCAAGUCGAACGAUUCUUCUUGAAUAGUGGCGAACGGAUGAGUAACGCGUGAGAAUUUGCCCUUAGGUGGGGGAUAACAAUUAGAAAUGAUUGCUAAUACCCCAUAGGCUGAGAAGUUAAAGAAUUUCGCCUAUGGAUAAGCUCGCGUCUGAUUAGCUAGUUGGUGGGGUAAUGGCUUACCAAGGCAACGAUCGGUAACUGGUUUGAGAGGACGACCAGUCAUACUGGGACUGAGACACGGCCCAGACUCCUACGGGAGGCAGCAGUAGGGAAUUUUCCGCAAUGGGCGAAAGCCUGACGGAGCAAUACCGCGUGGAGGAAGAAGGCUUUUGGGUUGUAAACUUCUUUUCUCAAGGAAGAAAAAAUGACGGUACUUGAGGAAUAAGCACCGGCUAACUCCGUGCCAGCAGCCGCGGUAAUACGGGGGGUGCAAGUGUUAUUCGGAAUUAUUGGGCGUAAAGCGUCUGUAGGUGGCAUAGUAAGUCCUGUGUUAAAUCUCGAAGCUUAACUUCGAAAUGGCAUAGGAAACUACUAAGCUUGAGUUCGGUAGGGGUAAAGGGAAUUCCCAGUGUAGCGGUGAAAUGCGAAGAGAUUGGGAGGAACACCAACGGCGAAAGCACUUUACUAGGCCGAAACUGACACUCAGAGACGAAAGCUAAGGUAGCGAACAGGAUUAGAUACCCUGGUAGUCCACACCGUAAACGAUGAGAGCUAGUUGUCUGCAGGCAUGCCUGUAGGUGACGCAGCUAACGCAUUAAGCUCUCCGCCUGGGGAGUACGGCCGCAAGGUUAAAACUCAAAUGAAUUGACGGGGGCCCGCACAAGCGGUGGAGCAUGUGGUUUAAUUCGAUGCAACGCGAAGAACCUUACCUACUCUUGACAUCCAGAAAAUUUGGCAGAGAUGCCUCAGUGCCUUCGGGAAUUCUGAGACAGGUGCUGCAUGGCUGUCGUCAGCUCGUGUCGUGAGAUGUUGGGUUAAGUCCCGCAACGAGCGCAACCCUUGUCCUUAGUUGCCAGCCUUAAGUUGGGCACUCUAAGGAGACUGCCGGUGACAAACCGGAGGAAGGUGGGGACGACGUCAAGUCAUCAUGGCCCUUACGUGUAGGGCUACACACGUGCUACAAUGGCAGUGACAAUGGGAUAAUCCCCAAAAGCUGUCUCAGUUCGGAUUGUCGGCUGCAACUCGCCGGCAUGAAGUUGGAAUCGCUAGUAAUCGUGGAUCAGCAUGCCACGGUGAAUACGUUCCCGGGCCUUGUACACACCGCCCGUCA